This 500-nucleotide ribosomal RNA is filed under the name uncultured bacterium. Its description in RNAcentral is "partial 16S ribosomal RNA". It matches the Rfam family "Bacterial small subunit ribosomal RNA", at positions 30 to 523 of the family's 1533-position model. The record is from RNAcentral.
AUUGAACGCUGGCGGCAUGCCUUACACAUGCAAGUCGAACGGCAGCACGGGAGCAAUCCUGGUGGCGAGUGGCGAACGGGUGAGUAAAGUAUCGGAACGUGCCCAGUCGUGGGGGAUAACGUAGCGAAAGUUACGCUAAUACCGCAUACGAUCUAUGGAUGAAAGCGGGGGAUCGCAAGACCUCGCGCGAUUGGAGCGGCCGAUAUCAGAUUAGGUAGUUGGUGGGGUAAAGGCUCACCAAGCCGACGAUCUGUAGCUGGUCUGAGAGGACGACCAGCCACACUGGGACUGAGACACGGCCCAGACGCCUACGGGAGGCAGCAGUGGGGAAUUUUGGACAAUGGGCGAAAGCCUGAUCCAGCUAUGCCGCGUGCAGGAUGAAGGCCUUCGGGUUGUAAACUGCUUUUGUACGGAACGAAAAGGUUUGGCCUAAUAAGCUGAGCUCAUGACGGUACCGUAAGAAUAAGCACCGGCUAACUACGUGCCAGCCGCCGCGGUAA